RNAcentral lists this ribosomal RNA (440 nucleotides) under uncultured bacterium. RNAcentral describes it as "partial 16S ribosomal RNA". It matches the Rfam family "Bacterial small subunit ribosomal RNA", at positions 338 to 795 of the family's 1533-position model. The record is from RNAcentral.
CCUACGGGAGGCAGCAGUGGGGAAUAUUGCACAAUGGGGGAAACCCUGAUGCAGCGACGCCGCGUGAGGGAAGAAGGAUUUCGGUAUGUAAACUUCUAUCAGCAGGGAAGAAAAUGACGGUAGCUGACUAAGAAGCCCCGGCUAACUACGUGCCAGCAGCCGCGGUAAUACGUAGGGGGCGAGCUUUAUCCGGAUUUACUGGGGGUAAAGGGAGCGUAGGCGGUUUAGCAAGUCAGAAGUGAAAGCCCUGGGCUCAACGCAGGGACUGCUUUUGAAACUGGUGAACUAGAGUGCAGGAGAGGUGAGUGGAAUUCCUGGUGUAGCGGUGAAAUGCGUAGAGAUUAGGAGGAACACCAGUGGCGAAGGCGGCUUACUGGACUAUAAAUGACGCUGAGGCGCGAAAGCGUGGGGAGCAAACAGGAUUAGAUACCCGAGUAGUC